GCCUUCGUGGUGUAAUGAUAGCACACUCGGUGCGUAUUCGAGAGGUCCAGGUUCGAGUCCCGGCGAGGGCA
This is a non-coding RNA of Stegodyphus mimosarum, 71 nucleotides long. The record is from Rfam. NCBI's taxonomy places the organism in Eukaryota, Metazoa, Arthropoda, Arachnida, Araneae, Eresidae.